RNAcentral lists this ribosomal RNA (483 nucleotides) under uncultured bacterium. RNAcentral describes it as "partial 16S ribosomal RNA". It matches the Rfam family "Bacterial small subunit ribosomal RNA", at positions 28 to 507 of the family's 1533-position model. The record is from RNAcentral.
GACGAACGCUGGCGGCGUGCUUAACACAUGCAAGUCGAACGCUGAAGCUCAGCUUUUGUUGGGUGGAUGAGUGGCGAACGGGUGAGUAACACGUGAGUAACCUGCCUCCUUCUUUGGGAUAACGCCCGGAAACGGGUGCUAAUACUGGAUAUUCACUGGUCUUCGCAUGGGGGUUGGUGGAAAGGGUUUUUCUGGUGGGGGAUGGGCUCGCGGCCUAUCAGCUUGUUGGUGGGGUGAUGGCCUACCAAGGCUUUGACGGGUCGCCGGCCUGAGAGGGUGACCGGUCACAUUGGGACUGAGAUACGGCCCAGACUCCUACGGGAGGCAGCAGUGGGGAAUAUUGCACAAUGGGCGCAAGCCUGAUGCAGCGACGCAGCGUGAGGGAUGGAGGGCUUGGGGUUGUGAACCUCUUUCGCUCAUGGUCAAGCCGCAACAAUGGUUGUGGUGAGGGUAGUGGGUAAAGAAGCGCCGGCUAACUACGUG